Molecule: non-coding RNA, 976 nt
Filed under: Phaethornis syrmatophorus
Lineage: Eukaryota; Metazoa; Chordata; Aves; Apodiformes; Trochilidae
Description: partial 12S ribosomal RNA
Rfam family: Bacterial small subunit ribosomal RNA
Source: RNAcentral
AAAGACUUAGUCCUAACCUUACUGUUAGUUGUUACCAGACAUAUACAUGCAAGUAUCCGCACCCCAGUGUAAAUGCCCCUAGCCACUCUUGCCAAGACAAAGGGAGCAGGUAUCAGGCACACCCCUGACUGUAGCCCAAGACACCUUGCUCAAGCCACACCCCCACGGGUACUCAGCAGUAAUUAACAUUAAGCCAUAAGUGUAAACUUGACUUAGUUAUGGUAAAACUCAGGGUUGGUUAAUCUUGUGCCAGCCACCGCGGUCAUACAAGAAGCCCAAAUUAACAGCAACACGGCGUAAAGAGUGACACGACGAUAUCCCUACAACCAAGGUCAAAACACAACUGAGCUGUCAUAAGCACAAGCUGUGCUAAAGCACACCCACAAAGUGGCCCCGGUUUAACACGACCAACUCACCGUCACGAAAGCUAAGGCACAAACUGGGAUUAGAUACCCCACUAUGCUUAGCCCUAAAUCUCGACACUACUCGAAAACCAAAGUGUCCGCCUGAGAACUACGAGCACAAACGCUUAAAACUCUAAGGACUUGGCGGUGCCCCAAACCCACCUAGAGGAGCCUGUUCUAUAAUCGAUAACCCACGAUACACCCGACCACCCUUUGCCCCACUCAGCCUACAUACCGCCGUCGCCAGUUCACCUAACUUGAAAGAACAACAGUGAACAUAACAGCCCCAACCACGCUAGCAAGACAGGUCAAGGUAUAGCCCAUAGGGUGGAAGAAAUGGGCUACAUUUUCUAACAUAGAUAAUCUACGGAAAGGGGCAUGAAAACUCCCCUGGAAGGCGGAUUUAGCAGUAAAGCUGGGCAAUAAUACCCCCUUAAAGCCGGCCCUGAGGCACGUACAUACCGCCCGUCACCCUCCUCACAAGCCACACGCACAGGUAAUUAACAUCAGUUUCGGCCAAAGAUGAGGUAAGUCGUAACAAGGUAAGUGUACCGGAAGGUGCACUUAGCAUA